UGGGGAAUAUUGCACAAUGGGCGCAAGCCUGAUGCAGCCAUGCCGCGUGUGUGAAGAAGGCCUUCGGGUUGUAAAGCGCUUUCAGCGGGGAGGAAGGCGUUAAGGUUAAUAACCUUGGCGAUUGACGUUACCCGCAGAAGAAGCACCGGCUAACUCCGUGCCAGCAGCCGCGGUAAUACGGAGGGUGCAAGCGUUAAUCGGAAUUACUGGGCGUAAAGCGCACGCAGGCGGUCUGUCAAGUCGGAUGUGAAAUCCCCGGGCUCAACCUGGGAACUGCAUUCGAAACUGGCAGGCUAGAGUCUUGUAGAGGGGGGUAGAAUUCCAGGUGUAGCGGUGAAAGGCGUAGAGAUCUGGAGGAAUACCGGUGGCGAAGGCGGCCCCCUGGACGAAGACUGACGCUCAGGUGCGAAAGCGUGGGGAGCAAACAGG
RNAcentral lists this ribosomal RNA (429 nucleotides) under Chloroflexota bacterium. Its description in RNAcentral is "Chloroflexi bacterium partial 16S ribosomal RNA". It matches the Rfam family "Bacterial small subunit ribosomal RNA", at positions 355 to 776 of the family's 1533-position model. The record is from RNAcentral. Lineage: Bacteria; Bacillati; Chloroflexota.